UACGAAGGGGGCUAGCGUUGCUCGGAAUCACUGGGCGUAAAGCGCACGUAGGCGGCUUUCUAAGUCAGGGGUGAAAUCCUGGAGCUCAACUCCAGAACUGCCUUUGAUACUGAAGAUCUUGAGUGCGGGAGAGGUGAGUGGAACUGCGAGUGUAGAGGUGAAAUUCGUAGAUAUUCGCAAGAACACCAGUGGCGAAGGCGGCUCACUGGCCCGAUACUGACGCUGAGGCACGAAAGCGUGGGGAGCAAACAGG
This 253-nucleotide ribosomal RNA is filed under the name uncultured bacterium. RNAcentral describes it as "partial 16S ribosomal RNA". It matches the Rfam family "Bacterial small subunit ribosomal RNA", at positions 524 to 776 of the family's 1533-position model. The record is from RNAcentral.